ACACAUGCAAGUCGAGCGGCAGCGGGAAAGUAGCUUGCUACUUUUGCCGGCGAGCGGCGGACGGGGGAGUAAUGCCUGGGGAUCUGCCCAGUCUAGGGGGAUAACUACUGGAAACGGUAGCUAAUACCGCAUACGCCCUACGGGGGAAAGCAGGGGACCUUCCGGCCUUGCGCGAUUGGAUGAACCCNGGUGGGAUUAGCUAGUUGGUGAGGUAACGGCUCACCAAGGCGACGAUCCCUAGAUGGUCUGAGAGGAUGAUCAGCCACUCUGGAACUGANACACNNNCCANACUCCUACGGGAGGCAGCANUGGGGAAUAUUGCACAAUGGGGGAAACCCUGAUGCAGCCNUGCCGCGUGUGUGAAGAAGGCCUUCNGGUUGNNNAGCACUUUCNNNNAGGAGGAAAGGUCANNANCUAAUAUCUGCUGGCUGUGACGUUACUCNNANAA
This 448-nucleotide ribosomal RNA is filed under the name uncultured bacterium. RNAcentral's name for it is "partial 16S ribosomal RNA". It matches the Rfam family "Bacterial small subunit ribosomal RNA", at positions 51 to 486 of the family's 1533-position model. The record is from RNAcentral.